CCUUGUACACACCGCCCGUCACACCACGAAAGUUGACUGCACCAGAAGUCACGUUUCUAACCGUAAGGGAGAGCGUGCCCAAGGUUUGGUCAAUGAUUGGGGUG
This 104-nucleotide ribosomal RNA is filed under the name uncultured bacterium. RNAcentral describes it as "partial 16S ribosomal RNA". It matches the Rfam family "Bacterial small subunit ribosomal RNA", at positions 1379 to 1482 of the family's 1533-position model. The record is from RNAcentral.